RNAcentral lists this long non-coding RNA (1438 nucleotides) under Homo sapiens (human). RNAcentral describes it as "testis expressed 41". Lineage: Eukaryota; Metazoa; Chordata; Mammalia; Primates; Hominidae. The record is from RNAcentral.
AGGAAGACCCUGGCCUCCAUCUUGAAAACGGAAAAUAAAAACAGCAGACCUAUGAAGGUCGAAGGGGAAGAAAAGCUGUAUCGAUUGUUGAGAUCUGGCGACUUGUUUAAAUUUCAUCAGCCUCACUUCUAUGAACUCUCAGGACAAACUGCAACAGAGUCACAUCGAGUUGAGACUUCUCCAAGGGCCAUGGGGUUGACAUCUGUAUUCUCAGAGCUGAUUACCAACUCCUACCACUGUUAACCCUCAUCCAGGAACAAGCUUAUGUCUUUAACAUUCUGAGUGGGCUUCAGCAUCCUUGCAUAUGUUCAAUUCUUAAAAACCUGUUGAAAUAAAAGAUCAGGAGACAUAGGAAGGAUGCCAGAAGAGAGCGUGGCCUCACGUGUACCAGCUCUCUGCUCUCCUUUGCCUUGGGACGUUCCAUCCCUGGAAGUUUCCCUGCCCACAUCUUUGUAGAGAGUCCAUUCUCCAAGCUUCAGUGUGUCAUCUGUGAGGACCGUGACCCACCUGGUACAUCGCCUCAGGGCAUUCAUUUCAGGCUCCUUCUAAAUGGCCAAGGAUCAGAGGGAAACAGACCAUUUUCUAUUGUGACAAAGAGAGAACCCAGGAAAGGGGCAGUGUUUUUCCCCUCACAGGUGAUGGAGUUUUUAUAAAGAAUGCAGCGGAUAAUGGCAGGCUUGUCCUCUGAACAGAUGGUGAUGGUCUUGUUGCUAGGAUGAGGCCUCAAGAAUUUAGUUUUUAAUUCCACAUUAUUUGCCUCAGUGCCAUGAAUAUCCCUAGGUUUCCUGAGGCAAAAAUACAGAAAAAAAAUCCACAGAAAGAGUGACACACAGAGAGAGAAAGAGCAAGAGAUGGGGCAACUGAGCAGAGACUGGAGCCCGGUCAAGAGAGGCUUUGGGGAAAAUGCCUGCUCAGCUGUCUGCAAUCACCUGGGUUUAAAGCAGGCAGGAAGGAAGAUUGGUUUGGCAGGAGAACUGGCCCUUUGAUGCCUUCGAUACCACAGAGAAAAAUUCCCAUUUCUUCCCAUUAGAAGUCUGUUUACUUUCCUAAUUAAGAUAAACAUGUUUCUGAAGGAGUUAGCUCUUAUAGCAUGACAUUUAUAAAAUCAACUAUAUAUACACACAAGAAUGUUUGCCAGGAAUUUGGGCUGAUGGUGAUUGUAUGAAGCAUUUUAUAGAAAUAUUUUUAAAUAGUUGCCUUAUUUAAAAAUGAGCGACUUUCAUUCCCUCCAGUCAAUUAAAUAUCUAAUUUCAACUCUCGGAGAUAAUAACUGAAGUAGUUUUUUUAAUAAAUGAAUGAACAGUUAGAAAACUGUUAAACACAUAGCCCUGAAGCAUGAAAAAUAUAUUCGUUGAACAGCUUUAUUCUUUUAUUGUUAAUUUACUUCAGAGAAUAUCCACUCGUGUAAUUUUCAAUAAAGUACUCUUAUUUUGAAGUC